GGAAUGACACAAGACGGCCAGAGUGGGCCACUAAGGAAGGACACUGUAAUCUGCGAGGCUACCUCCCCCAACAAAGACAGGUCCAAGGGGGAGCCCCACGUCCCAUGUCCAGGAGAUGGAGGAAGACACCACCGCUGGCCCUUCUUGGUGAUUUGACCAGAAGAGACACAAAACGUAAAAUGAAUUCUUAGGCUUGUGAUCAGAGGACAUGUAAUGUCUGCUAUUCCAGAUGCAGCCUGUAGCGCGAGGCAUCCACAGGGCAGCCAGUCCUGAUUUUACAAGGGCCACAGCUCCUCUACCACAAGAAGAAUUGUUCUCAGUUAUAAAGCAUAAGCCAGAAGCCUUCACAUCAGCCCGGACUUCUUUCUCUGAGGCCUGUCUAUCACCAGCACCAAAGCAAAUGAGUCAGCGAUCAGUCCUGCCCGUCCCUGGAACCCACGGCCUCUGCUUCUCUUCCUGGCUGCCUUUCUGGGACUUGUAUUCCCAGCGUGAAGCAGCCAUCUGGAGCUGAGGAAAGAGCUUACUGAGGAGAGUGGGUGUGCAAUGGGCCACACUGCAAGAUAAUGGAUGGGCACAUGGGACUGGUGCUGUGUCUACAAGGACACCUCGGCGGCCUCUGGACCACACUCUGAGAACUACAGCUUGCUAGGGUUUUCCGGAGCGAAGAUGUGUUGUGAAGACACUCAGAAGGAAGGACUAAUUGGACUGGUUCCUCUCGGAGGGCUGGGGACAAUAUUGUUCUGUGAAGUGUCACCACAGCAAUAGUUUGCAAGUUAGGCAGAAAGAAAUGUCAUGUAGCAGUUAUUAAGCAAAUGGAUUCUGUUUUCUUCUGGUUGAGAAGAGCCGUAUUAGCUUGGUGAAGCCCAUCUCAUUCUGGCUACCUAAGCAAUUUGUUUUCAUGUUAUAACUGGAGAGAGAAAAGGUCUCAUUAAUCAGCCCAGAUCAUAUGCUGAAAAUAGGAGAGUGCUUCAGCACAACAAUUACCAUUUUGUCUGGCAAGAGAUGCAAUUAGGAAAAACUUUGUGGUUUUCAUUGACCCAAAUCUUUUAACUAAUGGUGGAAAGGCUGCUGAAAAUUCUAGUUGUCAGAGCUGAAAUUUACACGUGGAAGAAAAGUCUGUGUUGAUUUCAUUGACAUAAAACCAAAUGGCUUCUGGUCUACCUGCCUCAGUCUAUAUGAUUAGUUUUAACAGACACUGAGAGCAUCUUCCUGACCAUGGUAAUGAAUUUUUUAAGCUCUUAUUACACCAGCUCUUAAAACCACACUGUCUUGACAUUAUAAAUAAUUCAAAGACCUUAUAUGUGCUGCCUAAGUAAGAUUUCAUUUGUCAGAAAAAAUAAUCUACCAUACCUGUUUACAUGAAAAUCCUGAAGCAAAAGGCAAGGCCAUGGCUGAUUAUACCAUUUGCAUUCGUAUUCCCUUUCCUGAGACCAAGUUCCUACAGUGCAGUAAUGAGCAUUUUCAGAUGACCCCAUAACCCAGGGGAAAAGAAAAGCCAAUAUCUAGUCCGAAGAUGAUAUAAGGCAUUGCUUAUUAUACAAUAUCUGUGUCCCCGUGAUGUAUUUCUUUAUUUCAAGAUCAUGACACUCCCUUCUGUCUUAAUACUGUCCUCUAAAACAAUGGUUCUCAAAUUUUUCUGCCUAUUAGAACCACCUGGGGAAUUUUUAAAACUUCUGAUGCCUGGGCUGUCCCCUAGCGUAAUUAAACUGGAAUCUCUGAA
Molecule: long non-coding RNA, 1720 nt
Organism: Chinchilla lanigera (long-tailed chinchilla)
Lineage: Eukaryota; Metazoa; Chordata; Mammalia; Rodentia; Chinchillidae
Exons: 2
Source: RefSeq, a predicted model, not a curated record